Long non-coding RNA from Callithrix jacchus (white-tufted-ear marmoset), 1570 nucleotides. NCBI's taxonomy places the organism in Eukaryota, Metazoa, Chordata, Mammalia, Primates, Cebidae. The record is from Ensembl.
CAUUGGCUCUCCUGAGUCUUCAGAUUACUGAUGACAAGCUGUGGGACUUAGUCUCCAUAAGCCAAAUACCUAUAAAAUUGUACGUGUGUAUGUGUGUGUGUGAGUGUGUGUGUGUAUCAGACAGGAUGUACAUAGAUAGGUGAGUGUGUGUUUGUAUGUAUGCAUAUAUAUUGAUAUGAUUCUAUUUCUCUGGAGAACCCAGACUGAUACUGAGAUGAUUAAUAAUUAAGUUAUCAUUAAAAUAACUCUAAGCUUUUUUAAUAUGCCAUUUAAAUACAUUUGAAUGAAAUGGGUCAAAGAUUGUUUUGGAUUUUAAACCAAGGAUGAAUUAUAAUUUGGUCUUUGUUAUGAUUUUCUUUGGAAAGGUGUUAUGUCGUUGAGUCAGUUAAAAGUGAAAUUUACUCAUAAUCCUUGGUCAAGGGUUUUAUAACCCUUUCAUCUUUGAAUUACUUAUAACUUAUUUUAGAAUUAUUGCUCCUCAUGUAACAGAGCUAUAAUUAAUGAGUUUUACCAAGUCUGUUUCGUGAGUCUGUAAAUCUAGGGGGACAUAUGUUUCCAUAUACCAUCUGAUGUUCUAAAAAUGCUUGUCUAGGUUAUUGGCUUCCCACCUCAGUCAUUCUGUUCCCUUAUGGAAUUCUGAAAUUAUCAUGUCUAUAAUUUACCGUAAUUUCAAUUAUAGUAGGUACUGGUGGAAUCACCUGACUUUUCUUAUCUCGUUGCCUAAACAUCCUUCUUAGGAAUAAGAGCUUCUCAGGCCUGAGCUGAAUUCCAGAAUCCAGAGCUAAUCUGAGUCAGCUGACUCUGAUCAAUGGUAGAGCUCCUCCGUGGCCUUUGGAAGCUUCAUUUCAGGUUCUGGGAUUCAUGUGCAGAUCAUGCAGCAUUGUGGCAUAGGUACAAGCACAUAAACGUCUUUGUGAAGAACUUACUGUAUGACACUGAAGAGGAUCCCAAUUAUUCCAGCUGUUAAAUGGAGUAGAUCAAAAGACUGAUUAAAUGUAAUGGAUUCCAAAAAUGCCUGGCACAUAGUAAGUACUAUAUAUUUAGACUUAAACUGCUAAGAUUAAUUAUAACUGUUAUUAAAUAAAUAUCUAUAAACUCUACCUAUGAAAUAAGCAUGGUAUUCAGUUUUUUUCCCCAGAGUUUUAUUCCAACUAUAGUUCUGAGGAUCUCCAGGGUUACUUACAUUUGUCAUUGAAUCAGUUUUCUCAUGGCCUCCUGGCAUAACCUGCCAGGAAAUUGAGUGUCCUGAUUAGGCUAGAUUCUCAAAACAGUGACCAUCUGAUCUCAUUUUCCUUCAUCAUUCUGGCCUCAUUCUCAGGACAGAACAAGACAAACCAUUAUCCCUGAAACCCAGUGGUUCCAGUGUGAUGGCCACUUCUGAUACAUGUUUACGUGGAUAAACAUAGUUCCUUGAAGAAUGAAUAAUAAUACUCUUUUCAGUGUGAUACCCAGGGAUGGCCACAGAGACUUCCCCUGUGUUAUAACUUUUUAUAAUUAAUCAUCCUCAAGUCUUGAGUGUGUUACUAAUGCUCAAGUGGUAUUUAUAUUUUUUCUAGAGGUGCGGUGGGAG